Molecule: ribosomal RNA, 589 nt
Filed under: uncultured Burkholderia sp.
Lineage: Bacteria; Pseudomonadati; Pseudomonadota; Betaproteobacteria; Burkholderiales; Burkholderiaceae
Description: bacterial SSU rRNA
Rfam family: Bacterial small subunit ribosomal RNA
Source: RNAcentral
UCGGGUUGUAAAGCACUUUUGUCCGGAAGAAAACCUCCGUCCUUAAUACGGUGGGGGAUGACGGUACCGGAAGAAUAAGCACCGGCAACUACGUGCCAGCAGCCGCGGUAAUACGUAGGGUGCAAGCGUUAAUCGGAAUUACUGGGCGUAAAGCGUGCGCAGGCGGUUCGCUAAGACCGAGGUGAAAUCCCGGGCUUAACCUGGGAACUGCAUUGGUGACUGGCGGGCUAGAGUAUGGCAGAGGGGGGUAGAAUUCCACGUGUAGCAGUGAAAUGCGUAGAGAUGUGGAGGAAUACCGAUGGCGAAGGCAGCCCCCUGGGCCAAUACUGACGCUCAUGCACGAAAGCGUGGGGAGCAAACAGGAUUAGAUACCCUGGUAGUCCACGCCCUAAACGAUGUCAACUAGUUGUCGGGUCUUCAUUGACUUGGUAACGAAGCUAACGCGUGAAGUUGACCGCCUGGGGAGUACGGUCGCAAGAUUAAAACUCAAAGGAAUUGACGGGGACCCGCACAAGCGGUGGAUGAUGUGGAUUAAUUCGAUGCAACGCGAAAAACCUUACCUACCCUUGACAUGGACGGAACCCUGCUG